Molecule: long non-coding RNA, 1066 nt
Filed under: Equus asinus (donkey)
Lineage: Eukaryota; Metazoa; Chordata; Mammalia; Perissodactyla; Equidae
Description: lncRNA (ENSEASG00005038364.1)
Source: RNAcentral
GCUUGUGCCUGGAGCCGCGUCUCAAUCGAGCUUCAACCAAUGGGGCUAGGAGCGGGACGACGGCGGAGCACGUGGGCCGCGCCCGGGACCUUCCGCCCCUGCUCCUGGCAGCUGCAACUGUCCUCCCUGGUUGGGUCUGCGGUUCCUGCUCGGUUAGCCGCUGCCCUGGGGCCUGGGUUGGAGGAGCCUGGCCCACCUCUGCCCACUGAGAGCCGCAGGGCAGAAGGUCUCCAUACGACUGUCCUGGGCUGCUCUCUUCUCGGACUCUGAGCCUGGCCCGGCGCUCCAGCGGGGCUGCUGGGGGCGGAGGCGUGGCCCUGCGCGCCGCGCCCCACCUCGCCGGUCACGACUCGGGGCCCCCCGAUUGCUGGCGGCUACGUAGCCGACGACUGGGGCCUCCAGUGGACAUCACCUUGUCUUCUUCUGGACAGUGGGCACUCGGUGUUUGCAGAGUGGAUGAAUGCCUCAGACUGCGUGGGCGGACUGCUGCAUGUGGAGAGGCUUAUGUAGACUGGAUGCGCCAGUGAGCCCAGUGAGCGCCAGUCAGCCCUCUGAGCCAGGGAUGCCUGCCCUCUGGCCGGUGUUCUCCCUCUCCUUGAGUAUGCAGCGUUCACACCUUGGCCUUUGUAAGCAGAUGCCGCUGCCAGAGCAGCCUCCCGGCCCUUUUAUAAGCUAUGCACAUCAGUCUGGUUAGUAGGGCCCGCCUCUUGCCCUUUCUACAUUCACUCCUCACAACUGUGACUCUUGUCGAAUCCUGGGGGGCUCUGAUGCCGCCAAUCUCUUUGGAAGAAUGGUUUUAUGCCCUUGGUUUUUCUAUUCCAGGCUGAGAAGCAAGAAAGUUCAGGAAAAAAAGAUGAUGGGAAAAACACACAUAUAAGGUCAAAAAGCUGACAAAUUAGUUUAACAUGAAAAACACCAGCCAGAUCCAACCGACACAGGGCCUGGCUCUCUAGGGUAGACAGGGAGAGAGGAGAGCUCUGGGGUCAGAGAAGUCACAGGUUCAAAUCAAUGUCCCUUUCUGAGCCUCAGUUUCCUAUGUGAAAGGCAAGAAUAGUAAAACCUAAUU